RNAcentral lists this transfer RNA (85 nucleotides) under Methanocalculus sp. AMF5. RNAcentral describes it as "tRNA-Leu". It matches the Rfam family "tRNA". Rfam says of the family: Transfer RNA (tRNA) molecules are approximately 80 nucleotides in length. Their secondary structure includes four short double-helical elements and three loops (D, anti-codon, and T loops). RNAcentral also lists the same sequence under 1 other name. The record is from RNAcentral. Lineage: Archaea; Methanobacteriati; Methanobacteriota; Methanomicrobia; Methanomicrobiales; Methanocalculaceae.
GCGUGGGUUGCCGAGCCUGGUCAAAGGCGCGGGGUUCAGGGCCCCGUCUUGUAGGAGUUCGCAGGUUCGAAUCCUGCCUCACGCA